RNAcentral lists this ribosomal RNA (253 nucleotides) under uncultured bacterium. RNAcentral's name for it is "partial 16S ribosomal RNA". It matches the Rfam family "Bacterial small subunit ribosomal RNA", at positions 524 to 776 of the family's 1533-position model. The record is from RNAcentral.
UACGGAGGGUGCAAUCGUUAUCCGGAUUCACUGGGUUUAAAGGGUGCGUAGGUGGGUUGGUAAGUCAGUGGUGAAAUCCCCGAGCUUAACUUGGGAACUGCCAUUGAUACUAUCAGUCUUGAAUAUUGUGGAGGUUAGCGGAAUAUGUCAUGUAGCGGUGAAAUGCUUAGAUAUGACAUAGAACACCAAUUGCGAAGGCAGCUGGCUACGCAUAUAUUGACACUGAGGCACGAAAGCGUGGGGAUCAAACAGG